Molecule: ribosomal RNA, 250 nt
Filed under: uncultured bacterium
Lineage: Bacteria
Description: partial 16S ribosomal RNA
Rfam family: Bacterial small subunit ribosomal RNA
Source: RNAcentral
UACGGAGGGUGCAAGCGUUAUCCGGAUUUACUGGGUUUAAAGGGUGUGUAGGCGGAUAUUUAAGUCAGAGGUGAAAUCUCCGAGCUCAACUCGGAAACUGCCUUUGAUACUAUUUAUCUUGAAUUUCGUUGAGGUUGGCGGAAUAUAUCAUGUAGCGGUGAAAUGCAUAGAUAUGAUAUAGAACACCGAUUGCGUAGGCAGCUGGCUGAACGAACAUUGACGCUGAGGCACGAAAGCGUGGGUAGCGAAC